GCAAACUUGGUCAUUUAGAGGAAGUAAAAGUCGUAACAAGGUUUCCGUAGGUGAACCUGCGGAAGGAUCAUCACUGAUUCUGGGGUGUGCUCGCGCCGUGGUCUUUGGGCCAUGGCGAGAGCCCCCCACCCACUCUUUUGUGCACUGUUUCUCACUUGUCCAGGGGAUGACGGGCGCUGGUUGUUUGUUGGUGGGGUGUGGCGCGUGCGUCGCCCUCACCGACAGCACCAGCGCGCGCGUCGUUCUCGGCUUACUACAAUCUUGAUGAAUGCUUUGUCUAAUGCGCACUUGACACAAUAACACACACAACUUUUAACAAUGGAUCUCUUGGCUCUCGCAUCGAUGAAGAACGCAGC
RNAcentral lists this unclassified non-coding RNA (356 nucleotides) under uncultured fungus. RNAcentral describes it as "partial contains small subunit ribosomal RNA, internal transcribed spacer 1, and 5.8S ribosomal RNA". The stretch from base 1 to 73 matches the Rfam family "Eukaryotic small subunit ribosomal RNA", at positions 1759 to 1831 of the family's 1831-position model. The record is from RNAcentral. Lineage: Eukaryota; Fungi.